This 489-nucleotide ribosomal RNA is filed under the name uncultured bacterium. RNAcentral describes it as "partial 16S ribosomal RNA". It matches the Rfam family "Bacterial small subunit ribosomal RNA", at positions 28 to 507 of the family's 1533-position model. The record is from RNAcentral.
GAUGAACGCUCGCGGCAGGCUUAAUACAUGCAAGUCGUGGGGCAGCAGGACUGUAGCACUACAGUUGCUGGCGACCGGCAAACGGGUGCGGCACACGUACGCAACUUACCCUGAACUGGGGGAUAGCCCGGGGAAACCCGGAUUAAUACUCCGUAAUAUAAUGGAGUGGCAUCACUUUAUUAUUAAAGCUCCGGCGGUUAGGGAUGGGCGUGCGGCUGAUUAGGCAGUUGGUUGAGGUAACGGCUCACCAAGCCUACGAUCAGUAACUGGUGUGAGAGCACGACCAGUGAGACGGGGACUGGGACACGAGCCCGACUCCUGCGAGAGGCAGCAGUAAGGAAGAAAGGGCAAGGGAGGCAACUCUGACACAGCCAGGCCGCGUGGAGGAUGAAGGCCCUCUGAGGUGUAAUCGUCUGUGAAAGGGGACGAAACCUGAGUAUUCUUACGCAGUUGACGGUACCCUAGGAAUAAGCACCGGCUAACUCCGUG